UUGUUCUGGCACCCAUCUCUCCAGGGAUGCCCAGGCUGUUCUCCUGAGGCUGUUUUCCUGCCCCAUCUCUCCAGGGAUGCCCAGGCUGUUCUCCUGAGGCUGUUUUCCUGCCCCAUCUCUCCAGGGAUGCCCAGGCUGUUCUCCUGAGGCUGUUUUCCUGUCCCAUCUCUCCAGGGAUGCCCAGGCUGUUCUGGCUCCCAGCUCAGCCCCUUCCUGCCAGCAGCAGAGCCCGAGUCCCCCUGGCCAGUGCCAUUCCCUGUCCCCAGUGGCCCAGCUGGGACAAAUCUGCUGCUGGCAGCUUCCUGCCCCUCCAAGAGGAGCUGGGCCAGGUCAGGAAUGAUCCACGGCCAGGAGGAAAGGCUGGAUUGGAGCUGGGAGCACACAGACGCCAGCAGUGCCCAGCCCUGCCUGGCCUAAACGAGCUGUUUGGGACUCAUUUGUUUUUGUGGAGGUGUGUGGGCAGCCAGAGGCCCUGGUGAGGUUGGGCUGGAGGGUGAAAUGUUGCUAUUUUGGCAGAGUUUUGUCAGCCUGUUCCUUGGCUGGGUGACUCCCCUGCUGCCUGAGCCGGGCCCUCAAAGGUUUGGGAUCGUCCCUUUCCCGUCAGGGGUCAGUGUUUUUGUUUGAGUUCUUCUCAAAUUAAAGGCUGCCAGCCUCCCUUUCCCACAGGGCUGACUCGCAGCUGUUUUGGGGACGGAUUUGGCACUGCCUUAACCACUUCCAGAAACACUUGUGGGGUCUGGACUUCCCACCCCGAGCUCUGUCCACUGCAGCAGGGAGGAUUCGAGACAAAAUCCUCCUGCCCCUACAGCUGGGGCGUCCUGGAAUAAAUCCCCCUGACCCAAGGCUGAAAAGCCCUUCAUUUUCAAUAUUUCUUCUGUAAAUGUGAGGAACUUUCCCUGCUCAGAGGCUGCUCUGAUGCUCAAAUGCUUUUUGAUAAUUUAAGUGCCUAAAGUGCUUCCACACCGAGCUUCAGGUGAAGGGCUUUGGUGGGAAAGGGCUCGAAUUCUUCAUUUCAGGUGAAGGGCUUUGGUGGGAAAGGGCUCCAAUUCUUCAUUUCAGGUGAAGGGCUUUGGUGGGAAAGGGCUCCAAUUCUUCAUUUCAGGUGAAGGGCUUUGGUGGGAAAGGGCUCCAAUUCUUCACUUCAAACCCCCAGGUGAUAAAGCAGAGUCAGAGAGGGGCAGAGCCAGGGCUUAUACUGGGAGAUCAGGGUGAAGGAGCAGGAUGAUGAAGAAAUCUUCACAAAAUUGGGGUUUUUUUGGCUUCUUCUAAGAAAAUUUCUGUGUCAGGAUCACGUGUAAGACCAGCAAUGGAUGUUGUGGUCUGGGUAGGAGCAGCCCUUACCUGCUGUCACUGAUAUUCCCUGUGUGACCACAGGAUUUCUUGAGGAUUUGGUCCUGUCUGGCCACAGGUUUGGGUACGAGCUCCUCAGAGCUGGUGAGCAGGAGCUUUUCCCUUCCUCACGGGUGAAUCGUGCCUCGCCUUUCCCUUGCUGAGUUUUGGAGGAGGGAUAAAUUGCUGUGUAAAUUCCCCAGGCUCGGGAAGGACUGGGGGGAUGGAUGGAUGGAUGGAUGCUGGUUUUCCUGUUUGAGGUCACAUCCUGCCCGCGAGACGUUCGUGGUUUAUUUAUUCGGUAGAGUGAAUAUUUUGUAUACGGCGCGAGAGGAAGGCUUUUAUUAUAAAUUUUUAUGGAAAAAGUGGUGGGGG
This is a long non-coding RNA of Motacilla alba alba, 1704 nucleotides long. RefSeq lists it as uncharacterized. The record is from RefSeq and is a predicted model, not a curated record. The transcript has 2 exons. NCBI's taxonomy places the organism in Eukaryota, Metazoa, Chordata, Aves, Passeriformes, Motacillidae.